Non-coding RNA from Salmo salar (Atlantic salmon), 54 nucleotides. The record is from Rfam. NCBI's taxonomy places the organism in Eukaryota, Metazoa, Chordata, Actinopteri, Salmoniformes, Salmonidae.
UGCAUUUACUACUGUAAGUCGCUCUGGAUAAGAGCGUCUGCUAAAUUAAUAAAA